This 253-nucleotide ribosomal RNA is filed under the name uncultured prokaryote. RNAcentral describes it as "partial 16S ribosomal RNA". It matches the Rfam family "Bacterial small subunit ribosomal RNA", at positions 524 to 776 of the family's 1533-position model. The record is from RNAcentral.
UACAGAGGGUGCGAGCGUUAAUCGGAAUUACUGGGCGUAAAGCGCGCGUAGACGGCUUCGUAAGUCGGAUGUGAAAUCCCCGGGCUCAACCUGGGAACUGCGUUUGAAACUGGGAGGCUAGAGUGCGGCAGAGGGGGGUGGAAUUCCACGUGUAGCAGUGAAAUGCGUAGAUAUGUGGAGGAACACCGAUGGCGAAGGCAGCCCCCUGGGCCAGCACUGACGCUCAUGCACGAAAGCGUGGGGAGCAAACAGG